RNAcentral lists this ribosomal RNA (897 nucleotides) under human gut metagenome. RNAcentral's name for it is "bacterial SSU rRNA". It matches the Rfam family "Bacterial small subunit ribosomal RNA", at positions 8 to 906 of the family's 1533-position model. The record is from RNAcentral.
AGAGUUUGAUCCUGGCUCAGGAUGAACGCUGGCGGCGUGCCUAAUACAUGCAAGUCGAACGCUUCACUUCGGUGAAGAGUGGCGAACGGGUGAGUAAUACAUAAGUAACCUGGCAUCUACAGGGGGAUAACUGAUGGAAACGUCAGCUAAGACCGCAUAGGUGUAGAGAUCGCAUGAACUCUAUAUGAAAAGUGCUACGGGACUGGUAGAUGAUGGACUUAUGGCGCAUUAGCUGGUUGGUAGGGUAACGGCCUACCAAGGCGACGAUGCGUAGCCGACCUGAGAGGGUGACCGGCCACACUGGGACUGAGACACGGCCCAAACUCCUACGGGAGGCAGCAGUAGGGAAUUUUCGGCAAUGGGGGAAACCCUGACCGAGCAACGCCGCGUGAAGGAAGAAGUAAUUCGUUAUGUAAACUUCUGUCAUAGAGGAAGAACGGUGGAUAUAGGGAAUGAUAUCCAAGUGACGGUACUCUAUAAGAAAGCCACGGCUAACUACGUGCCAGCAGCCGCGGUAAUACGUAGGUGGCGAGCGUUAUCCGGAAUUAUUGGGCGUAAAGAGGGAGCAGGCGGCACUAAGGGUCUGUGGUGAAAGAUCGAAGCUUAACUUCGGUAAGCCAUGGAAACCGUAGAGCUAGAGUGUGUGAGAGGAUCGUGGAAUUCCAUGUGUAGCGGUGAAAUGCGUAGAUAUAUGGAGGAACACCAGUGGCGAAGGCGACGAUCUGGCGCAUAACUGACGCUCAGUCCCGAAAGCGUGGGGAGCAAACAGGAUUAGAUACCCUAGUAGUCCACGCCGUAAACGAUGAGUACUAAGUGUUGGGUGUCAAAGCUCAGUGCUGCAGUUAACGCAAUAAGUACUCCGCCUGAGUAGUACGUUCGCAAGAAUGAAACUCAAAG